This 1435-nucleotide long non-coding RNA is filed under the name Phasianus colchicus (ring-necked pheasant). RNAcentral's name for it is "lncRNA (ENSPCLG00000010491.1)". The record is from RNAcentral. Lineage: Eukaryota; Metazoa; Chordata; Aves; Galliformes; Phasianidae.
CUUCCUGACUCUUGAGUCUGCAGCUCUCCCACCAGUGAAGCCAAAACAAUUCCCUCAGUAUUGCACUUCAAUAGGAAAUCACAAAUGUACUUAAUGUUUUUAUUGUUGUUUAGAAUUGCAUAUUAUUUUUUUCCAGAGAAUGCAUUCUCUGAUUGUGUUUUAGUGUUCAGAUGCUGAGUUGGUGAACUCCUUUUGUCUCAAAAAACUUUUACACAAAGGCCAUGGCAAUGUGAAGUCACCUCUAUGAAACUUGGAAUGUCUCAUAUAGCAAGGAAAGACUUGCUUGUCCAAGGAAAUAACAGGCACCUUCAAAAGCGAAGAACUACAUUAAAUUACUUGGGCACAGUGAUUGGCUCAAUUAAUCACCUUAAAUCUGCAGGAACGCCUGGUAUGCAGUUUACAUCCUGCAAGAAGCAAACUUCCUCUAGGAACUGAGUAGAGAAGGUGACUAAAUCUGCAUGGACUUAACAAUAGACUUUGCAAGUGUGAGCUCUUUAGCCUAGCCCACAAAAUACAUCUGCACACACAGUCAGAAUGUCAGAGUAACAAAGCUUUCAGGUGUUCACAGAAGCUUUGAUCCUAAAAUAACAGCAAAUGGGCAUGAUGAAAAGAAUCUAAUUAUCAUUACUGUGGAUAGAAUGAGAUUGUCUGACACUAGAAGAUGUUCCUGGACUUGAGUCAGUUGUGUGCCAGUAAGAACACAAGGAUCAGAGACAAAUAUUUUGCAAAAUGAACUAUAGGCUGGAACUUUCAUCCAAAAUCCAUAUUCAUGUCAGCUCAUUCAAAAACAUGAUGAGCAUGGCACAGAGGGCUUUGCAGGGCUUAUUGCAAAGGCUCCUACCAUGUGAAGGAGGCAGAAGAAAAUGCAGAAACAACUAUUGAAGACAAUGAGGAAACAGAACCAAAACCAUGGAUGAACUGUAGCAAACACCCUGGGGAAAAAAAAAAAAAAAUUGAAUUUGUUUGGUUGAGUACUGAUUAAAAGAGGCUUCAGCUGUUUCCAGGCUUUUUUAGGAUACAGGAUGCUAUGUCCCCCUCAGAAACAAACAAAACAAAACAUUGUUCCUCAUUAAAAUGAAAGGGUUGAUUUGCAAAAUGCAAUGUUGCUUCCUAAAUUCAAGACAGAUUAUCUGGCUUUGCAUGUAUAACGUACUCCAAAAUGCAAGGUAAUUGGCAGGUGAAAGCCCUUGGUAUCUCAGACUGAUAAGCUCUGAUAAAGAAAGUAGAUGGCUCAGACUCCCUUUCCUGACCCUCAGCACAUGAGCUGGCUUUUUUUCUUGAAAUCAGUUGUGAAACAAACUUUGUCUUCCCUGAGGCUUCAUCUUCCAGCAUGGAAGGUCCUGGGUGGAAUGAGAAAUCUUUCUCAUAUUUGUGAAACACAAAACAAAGGAAAGGGAGUGGAUCUCAAAAGAUAAUCUUGUGAGUAAUUUAACAG